AGGACCUAGAGGGCCACAUGUGGCCUUGAGCCACAGGUUACUCAUCCCUGGUUUAAAGAAAAGAAGAAAUGUUUAUUUUGAUACAAGGAAACCUACUCUUAAAUGUUGGCUCUGAUUCUCACAGAGAGAAGAGGAUCAUUUCCUGGCCAUCUCCAUAUCAUAUUGCAUACAUUCCAGUGAUCAUCCUCUUCCCACUCCAGCCAGAACAUUAUACGUUACAGCUAAUUCUCCAAGUUCUGAUAGUCCUGACAGAUUCUCAAGAGGACAAGUUAUAUGUUCAGGGCACCACUUUCCCCUAAUUUGAGGACAACCAAUCAACCAAUCAGCCAAGAUCUAUUAAGUAUCUCUUAUGUUGCUAGACCUCUGCAAGGUACUCUGAGGGAUAAACAAGACUUAGAAGAUCUAAUUAUUCUCAUUAAGAACUUUACACUAUUUGGAAGCCCCUAUUUGAAAAGGGCACAUAGGAACCUUGAUCAGAGCUGGAAGACGCUCUAAAGCUCAUAUAGCAAAUCUGUCUCAUUUUGCUGGAAAUUGAGACCCAAAGAGCCUAAGUGACUGGCCAAGAGUUGUAAGGGUAGUAAAUAACAGAGCCAGGAUGCUACCCUAAAUUCUAUUCAUGAAUGUCUUGAAGUUAUGAAGUGCUCACUCAUCCCAAUUUCCUGUUGUAUAAUUAAGUAUUCAUUCGGCACAAAAAAUCUACUCUCUUCGGCUGGCAGAUUUUCGUCACUUGGCACCCCUAGACAAAUUGCCAAAUGUCGUCUUUGUCAGUUGCCAUAAACUAUUUAUCAUCUGUGAGAAAUCAGGAGAGCUAGAAAGAUAGCUUUCCUGUUUAUGAAUCCUGGUUUACUCAAUUCUGUCUUUUGCCACCUCCCCAGACAGCAGAAAGGGGAAGUAAGAUUUUGAAGAAAGAUAAGA
Molecule: long non-coding RNA, 915 nt
Organism: Phascolarctos cinereus (koala)
Lineage: Eukaryota; Metazoa; Chordata; Mammalia; Diprotodontia; Phascolarctidae
Source: RefSeq, a predicted model, not a curated record